UACGGAGGGGACUAGCGUUGUUCGGAAUUACUGGGCGUAAAGCGCACGUAGGCGGAUUUGUAAGUCAGAGGUGAAAUCCCGGGGCUCAACCUCGGAACUGCCUUUGAUACUGCAAAUCUCGAGUCCGGAAGAGGUGAGUGGAAUUCCUAGUGUAGAGGUGAAAUUCGUAGAUAUUAGGAAGAACACCAGUGGCGAAGGCGGCUCACUGGUCCGGUACUGACGCUGAGGUGCGAAAGCGUGGGGAGCGAACAGG
This 253-nucleotide ribosomal RNA is filed under the name uncultured bacterium. RNAcentral's name for it is "partial 16S ribosomal RNA". It matches the Rfam family "Bacterial small subunit ribosomal RNA", at positions 524 to 776 of the family's 1533-position model. The record is from RNAcentral.